CUCCUGGACUAUUUCAGGUUGGCUCUGCCCUAUGUCUAUAAAUGGCUGCAGUACCCUGACUGUGCAAAGGUAGCAUAAUCACUAGUUUUUUAAUUGGAAAAUGGUAUGAAUGAGUUGACGAAGGACAGACUAUCUAUUUAUACAGUAAAUUUGACAUUAACGUUAAAAGGCUUUAAUAAUCUAGAGGGACGAUAAGACCCUGAGAAAUUUUAUUCUUUACAGCGCCCUAACUAGAGGCGGCGGGGAUGUUAUGAGAGUUUAGCUGGGGCGGCAAUUUUAUUAGCUAUUAUAACUAUAACAGUAAGGUGGCGGAUAAGGACGUUAUUAUAUAGAGUAGUAAAUUACUCCAGGGAUAACAGCACGAUCCCCCCUGAGAGACCUUAUUGGCGGGGGGGCUUGUGACCUCGAUGUUGAAUUGGAGAGGCUCGCUAGGGUAGAGGCUAGCGGAGCUGGUCUGUUCGACCAUUUAUCCUCC
Molecule: ribosomal RNA, 475 nt
Filed under: Mexistenasellus coahuila
Lineage: Eukaryota; Metazoa; Arthropoda; Malacostraca; Isopoda; Stenasellidae
Description: partial 16S ribosomal RNA
Rfam family: Bacterial large subunit ribosomal RNA
Source: RNAcentral